Molecule: long non-coding RNA, 1022 nt
Filed under: Monodelphis domestica (gray short-tailed opossum)
Lineage: Eukaryota; Metazoa; Chordata; Mammalia; Didelphimorphia; Didelphidae
Description: lncRNA (ENSMODG00000040791.1)
Source: RNAcentral
GACUGGAAAAGAAUCUGGAACCACAUAUCUUCUCUUUCAAAGUUGAAAUCCAGAAUAAGAUAUCUCUUCUCCCAAGCUCUUUCCAACUCUGAUUAGAGUUCUGAGUAAUCCGUCUUAACCAAUGAAAAGAAUCUUUGGCAGAUAGCCUUUGAGUUUAAACUUCAUAUGCCCAUCUUUUCUCAGGACAAACCUAACCUUUCUUUCUGGGGAGAGAAGUUUCAUGUUGGAGGAUACACAAUCAUUGAGGAACUGAGAAAUAAAUAUUCAAGGCUUCCUUCCACCCUUGUCAAGGAGCCCAGAAGUUCAAGGGUAAUUGUGUGUGUGUGUGUGUGUGUGUGUGUGUGUGUGUGUGCGUGCGCGCGUGCUUGUGCCUGCGUGGGUGUGAGGCUGUAUCUGGAUGUAUGUGGAUCUGAAUAAUAGAAACAAGGUACAAGCACAGACAUUUGUGGCACCAUGAAGGAAAUGUUUGAAUCUCCCUGCAGGAUCCAUGCUGCUGAAGUGGUCGCCAAAAUGUUCACAUCUGCUUCUGGAUAGGCCUGAAUGUCUGUCUGGGAGUGUUCCUGAUGCCCAGAGCUGGUGGGAGGAGAUGUUUGCAACACUAUCUCUGGGAGAGAAACUCUGUAUCUGAGUCCCAAUCUCUGUGUGGAUGAGACACCCAACAGACAGAAAUGCCCGCUGAGUGGUGCUCGGUGAGAUGCUGAAUGUGAGUGUGUUGGGUCUGUGCGGAGCCAGCCUCUUGGGCCCGUCCUUCCGCCCCCUUCCCCGAGAGGCCUGGAGCAGCCGGUUUGGUAAUUGCUCUCCUGAUCCAUAUGUAGAGUAAUUAAUUAUGGCAUGGCAUAUGCAGAUCAGCUGAGGUUUUUCUCAUUAGCUGAGUUGGUGUUGGCAAUUAGGGAAGUAAAUACCCAGAGCUCUCAGAGGCUGGAGAGCUCCCUCCUCACACCUCUAACAAUUAGCCUUUUAAUUUAUUAAGGGCAUUAAAAAAUUCUUUCAAGGGCUUUUUUGCUAAUUAAAGUUUUCUUGUU